GAGGGUAUAGCUCAGUGGUACAGUGCAUGCUUAACAUGCAUGAGGUCCUGAGUUCAAUCCCUAGUACCUCUG
Molecule: transfer RNA, 72 nt
Filed under: Camelus bactrianus (Bactrian camel)
Lineage: Eukaryota; Metazoa; Chordata; Mammalia; Artiodactyla; Camelidae
Also listed under: 2 other names
Rfam family: tRNA
About the family: Transfer RNA (tRNA) molecules are approximately 80 nucleotides in length. Their secondary structure includes four short double-helical elements and three loops (D, anti-codon, and T loops).
Source: Rfam by way of RNAcentral